Molecule: ribosomal RNA, 437 nt
Filed under: Fusobacterium necrophorum
Lineage: Bacteria; Fusobacteriati; Fusobacteriota; Fusobacteriia; Fusobacteriales; Fusobacteriaceae
Description: bacterial LSU rRNA
Rfam family: Bacterial large subunit ribosomal RNA
Source: RNAcentral
GGUGGUGAUGGCGUGCCUUUUGGAGAAUGAUCCUGCGAGUUACGUUUCAUGGCGAGGUUAAGAAGAACGGAGCCGAAGGGAAACCGAGUCUGAAUAGGGCGCAAGAGUCGUGGAGCGUAGACGCGAAACCCGGUGAUCUAAGCCUGUCCAGGAUGAAGCUGUGGUAAGACACAGUGGAGGUCCUAACCCACCGCCGUUGAAAAGUUGGGGGAUGAGGUAGGUUUAGGGGUGAAAAGCCAAUCGAACCGGGAGAUAGCUCGUUCUCUCCGAAAUGCAUCUAGGUGCAGCCUUGCGUGUUUAAUGAUGGGGGUAGAGCACUGACUGAACUAGGGGGCAUAUAGCUUACUGAAUUCAAUCAAACUCCGAAUACCAUUAUUCAAGAGCGCAGGAGUGAGACCAUGGGAGUUAACUUCCAUCGUCGAAAGGGAAACAACCCA